CUUUACUGUAGCCUGGUAUUGGGUUCGGGCUCUUCUUGCGCAGCCUAGGUGGGAGGCGUUGAAAGCUUUCUUUUGGGGAAGCUGGAGCCAUCAGUGAGAGACCACUCUGGAGGAGCUAGAAUUCUAAUGGCGUUCCUUGAAGCAGGACGCUUGACAGUUUCAGGUGGGCAGUUUGACUGGGGCGGUCACCUCCUAAAAGGUAACGGAGGUGUGCAAAGGUUCCCUCAGGCUGGACGGAAAUCAGCCGGAGAGUGUAAAGGCAGAAGGGAGCUUGACUGCAAGACCUACAAGUCGAGCAGGGGCGAAAGCCGGCCUUAGUGAUCCGACGGUUCCAUGUGGAAGGGCCGUCGCUCAACGGAUAAAAGUUA
RNAcentral lists this ribosomal RNA (368 nucleotides) under uncultured organism. RNAcentral's name for it is "bacterial LSU rRNA". It matches the Rfam family "Bacterial large subunit ribosomal RNA", at positions 2099 to 2465 of the family's 2925-position model. The record is from RNAcentral.